This 201-nucleotide unclassified non-coding RNA is filed under the name plant metagenome. Its description in RNAcentral is "partial contains small subunit ribosomal RNA, internal transcribed spacer 1, and 5.8S ribosomal RNA". The record is from RNAcentral.
UCUCCGUUGGUGAACCAGCGGAGGGAUCAUUAUCGAGUUUAUAACUCCCAAACCCUAUGUGAACUUACCACUUGUUGCUUCGGCGCGCGCUUCGGUGCCGCCGAGGACACUUAAACUCUUUGUUUUUAUAAGCAUUUCUGAGUGGCCGAAAGGCAAAAUACAAAUGAAUCAAAACUUUUAACAACGGAUCUCUUGGUUCUG